This 419-nucleotide ribosomal RNA is filed under the name bacterium enrichment culture clone ALO1_GLFRUDD03GQ1GK. Its description in RNAcentral is "bacterial SSU rRNA". It matches the Rfam family "Bacterial small subunit ribosomal RNA", at positions 9 to 429 of the family's 1533-position model. The record is from RNAcentral.
GAGUUUGAUCGUGGCUCAGAUUGAACGCUGGCGGCAUGCCUUACACAUGCAAGUCGAACGGCAGCACGGGAGCUUGCUCCUGGUGGCGAGUGGCGAACGGGUGAGUAAUGCAUCGGAACGUAUCCUGGAGUGGGGGGUAACGUAGCGAAAGUUACGCUAAUACCGCAUAUUCUGUGAGCAGGAAAGCGGGGGACCUUCGGGCCUCGCGCUCUUGGAGCGGCCGAUGUCGGAUUAGCUAGUUGGUGAGGUAAAGGCUCACCAAGGCGACGAUCCGUAGCAGGUCUGAGAGGAUGAUCUGCCACACUGGAACUGAGACACGGUCCAGACUCCUACGGGAGGCAGCAGUGGGGAAUUUUGGACAAUGGGGGCAACCCUGAUCCAGCCAUGCCGCGUGAGUGAAGAAGGCCUUCGGUUGUAAG